RNAcentral lists this ribosomal RNA (2434 nucleotides) under Faecalibacterium sp. Marseille-Q4896. Its description in RNAcentral is "23S ribosomal RNA". It matches the Rfam family "Bacterial large subunit ribosomal RNA", at positions 404 to 2925 of the family's 2925-position model. Lineage: Bacteria; Bacillati; Bacillota; Clostridia; Eubacteriales; Oscillospiraceae. The record is from RNAcentral.
AUUCCAGAGUACGGCCAGACACGUGAAACCUGGUCGGAAUACGGGGGGACCACCCUCCAACCCUAAAUACUACCCAGUGACCGAUAGCGUAUAGUACUGUGAAGGAAAGGUGAAAAGCACCCCGGGAGGGGAGUGAAAAAGAACCUGAAACCCUGUGCCUACAAGCACCUAGAGCGCGUCAAAGCGUGAUAGGGUACUUUUUGUAGAACGGUCCGGCGAGCGAUUGUAUGCAGCAAGGUUAAGGACUUAAGGUCUGGAGCCGAAGCGAAAGCGAGUUUGAAAAGGGCGUUAAGUUGCAUAUAAUGGGCCCGAAACCGGGUGACCUACCCAUGGUCAGGUUGAAGUGGAAGUAAAAUUCCAUGGAGGACCGAACCGACCUCCGUUGAAAAGGCGGCGGAUGAACUGUGGGUAGCGGAGAAAUUCCAAUCGAACCCGGAGAUAGCUGGUUCUCCCCGAAAUAGUUUUAGGACUAGCCUCAAGUUAGAUACCUGGAGGUAAAGCACUGAAUAGCCUAGCGGCCGAGAGGUUAGCGAAGCUUAUCAAACUCAGAAUGCCAGAGUAUUGAUGCUUGGGAGUCAGACAGUGUCAGAUAAAUGUCAUUGUCAAAAGGGAAACAGCCCAGAUCUACAGCUAAGGUCCCAAAGUCAGGUUAAGUGGAAAACGAUGUGAAGAUACGCAGACAACCAGGAUGUUGGCUCAGAAGCAGCCACUCAUUCAAAGAGUGCGUAAUAGCUCACUGGUCGAGCGUCUUUGCGCGGAGAAUUUAACGGGGCUAAACCUGACACCGAAGCUUAGGCAGCAUGUUUACAUGCUGGGUAGGGGAGCGUUGUAUACGCGGUGAAACAGUAGCGCAAGCGGCUGUGGAGUGUAUAGAAGUGAGAAUGCCGGAAUGAGUAGCGCGAAUGCAGUGAGAAUCUGCAUGGCCGAAAGCCUCAGGUUUCUGGAGGAAGGUUCGUCCGCUCCAGGUUAGUCGGGAGCUAAGGUGAGGCCUAACGGCGUAGCCGAUGCACAGACGGUAGAGAUUCCGUCACCACCAAAAGAGUUAAACACAGGGACACAUAUGAAGUCUCGGAGCCGGGUGUUGGUUCCGGUAGCGAUCGAGGGAAGUUAGUACCGAAGUCCGGGAUGGAAGAUGGCGAGAAAAGCUGUGUGUAUUUCUGCGGUGCCCGUACCGCAAACCGACACAGGUAGGUAGGAAGAAGAUUCUAAGGCCAACGGGAGAAGGGUUGUUAAGGAACUCGGCAAAUUGACCCCGUAACUUCGGGAGAAGGGGUGCUGCAGCAAUGCAGCCGCAGAGAAUCGGCCCAAGCAACUGUUUACCAAAAACACAGGUUUGUGCUAAAUCGAAAGAUGACGUAUACGAGCUGACGCCUGCCCGGUGCUGGAAGGUUAAGAGGAGAUGUGCAAGCAUUGAAUCGAAGCCCCAGUGAACGGCGGCCGUAACUAUAACGGUCCUAAGGUAGCGAAAUUCCUUGUCAGGUAAGUUCUGACCCGCAUGAAAGGCGUAAUGAUUUGGGCACUGUCUCAACAGCCCGCCCGGCGAAAUUGUAGUACCGGUGAAGAUGCCGGUUACCCGCGACAAGACGGAAAGACCCCAUGGAGCUUUACUGUAGCCUAAUAUUGGGUUUCGAUGUUGCAUGCACAGGAUAGAUGGGACACUGGGAAGCAGGUGCUUUGGCGCUUGUGGAGUGGCCGUUGGGAUACCAUCCUUGCGAUAUUGGAAUUCUAACCUGCGCCUUUGAAUCAAGGCGGGGGACAUUGUUAGGUGGGCAGUUUGACUGGGGCGGUCGCCUCCUAAAGAGUAACGGAGGCGUUCAAAGGUUCGCUCAGCUUGAACGGAAAUCAAGCAAAAGAGUGCAAACGCAGAAGCGAGCCUAACUGCGAGACUGACGGGUCGAGCAGUAACGAAAGUUGGAGUUAGUGAUCCGGUGGUAUGUGAGUGGAAAUGCCAUCGCUCAACGGAUAAAAGUUACCCUGGGGAUAACAGGCUGAUCUCCCCCAAGAGUCCACAUCGACGGGGAGGUUUGGCACCUCGAUGUCGGCUCAUCGCAUCCUGGGGCUGUAUUCGGUCCCAAGGGUUUGGCUGUUCGCCAAUUAAAGCGGUACGCGAGCUGGGUUCAGAACGUCGUGAGACAGUUCGGUCCCUAUCUGUCGUGGGCGCAGGAUAUUUGAUGGGAGCUGUUCCUAGUACGAGAGGACCGGAGCGGACGUACCUCUGGCGCACCAGUUGUUCUGCCAAGAGCAUAGCUGGGCAACUAUGUACGGAUCGGAUAAACGCUGAAAGCAUCUAAGCGUGAAGCCGACCCAAAGAUAAGAUAUCCCAUUGUUUCAAACAAGUAAGACCCCUUGAAGACUACAAGGUUGAUAGGCACGAUGUGUAAGUGGAGCGAUUCAUUCAGCAAGCGUGUACUAAUAGGUCGAGGGCUUGACCACA